AGAGCGAACGCUGGCGGCAGGCCUAACACAUGCAAGUCGAGCGCGUGUAGCAAUACACGAGCGGCAGACGGGAGAGUAACACGUGGGAACGCGCCCUUCGGUUCGGAAUAACUCAGGGAAACUUGGGCUAAUACCGGAUACGCCCUUACGGGGAAAGAUUUAUUGCCGAAGGAACGGCCCGCGUCCGAUUAGCUUGUUGGUGAGGUAACGGCUCACCAAGGCGACGAUCGGUAGCUGGUCUGAGAGGAUGACCAGCCUCACUGGGACUGAGACACGGCCCAGACUCCUACGGGAGGCAGCAGUUGGGAAUAUUGGACAAUGGGCGCAAGCCUGAUCCAGCCAUGCCGCGUGGGUGAUGAAGGCCCUAGGGUUGUAAAGCCCUUUGGCGGGGAAGAUAAUGACGGUACCCGCAGAAGAAGCCCCGGCUAACUCGUGCCAGCAGCCGC
RNAcentral lists this ribosomal RNA (446 nucleotides) under uncultured bacterium. RNAcentral describes it as "SSU rRNA". It matches the Rfam family "Bacterial small subunit ribosomal RNA", at positions 26 to 518 of the family's 1533-position model. The record is from RNAcentral.